UUCUCGGACGGGUGAGUAACGCGUGAGAAUCUGCCCUCAGGAGGGGGAUAACGGCUGGAAACGGCCGCUAAUACCCCAUAUGCCGCGAGGUGAAAUGAGAAAUCGCCUGAGGAUGAGCUCGCGUCUGAUUAGCUAGUUGGUGGGGUAAGAGCCUACCAAGGCAUCGAUCAGUAGCUGGUCUGAGAGGAUGAUCAGCCACACUGGGACUGAGACACGGCCCAGACUCUUACGGGAGGCAGCASUGGGGAAUUUUCCGCAAUGGGCGCAAGCCUGACGGAGCAACGCCGCGUGAGGGAUGAAGGCCUCUGGGCUGUAAACCUCUUUUCUCAAGGAAGAAGAACUGACGGUACUUGAGGAAUAAGCCACGGCUAAUUCCGUGCCAGCAGCCGCGGUAAUACGGGAGUGGCAAGCGUUAUCCGGAAUUAUUGGGCGUAAAGCGUCCGCAGGCGGUCUUGAAAGUCUGUUGUUAAAGCGUGGAGCUCAACUCCAUUUCAGCAAUGGAAACUAGAAGACUAGAGUGUGGUAGGGGCAGAGGGAAUUCCCGGUGUAGCGGUGAAAUGCGUAGAUAUCGGGAAGAACACCAGUGGCGAAGGCGCUCUGCUGGCCAUAAACUGACGCUCA
This 621-nucleotide ribosomal RNA is filed under the name Cyanobium sp. LEGE 11437. RNAcentral's name for it is "bacterial SSU rRNA". It matches the Rfam family "Bacterial small subunit ribosomal RNA", at positions 95 to 749 of the family's 1533-position model. Lineage: Bacteria; Bacillati; Cyanobacteriota; Cyanophyceae; Synechococcales; Prochlorococcaceae. The record is from RNAcentral.